UCUAAAGUCAUGUCCCCAUGAACAUACCCAAUCUGAUGUGGUUUUGGAAGCUAAGCAGGGUUGGGCACAGUUAGAA
Ribosomal RNA from Cricetulus griseus (Chinese hamster), 76 nucleotides. NCBI's taxonomy places the organism in Eukaryota, Metazoa, Chordata, Mammalia, Rodentia, Cricetidae. The record is from Ensembl.